This 468-nucleotide ribosomal RNA is filed under the name uncultured bacterium. RNAcentral describes it as "partial 16S ribosomal RNA". It matches the Rfam family "Bacterial small subunit ribosomal RNA", at positions 28 to 507 of the family's 1533-position model. The record is from RNAcentral.
GACGAACGCUGGCGGCGUGCUUAACACAUGCAAGUCGAACGGAAAGGCCCUGCUUUUGUGGGGUGCUCGAGUGGCGAACGGGUGAGUAACACGUGAGUAACCUGCCCUUGACUUUGGGAUAACUUCAGGAAACUGGGGCUAAUACCGGAUAGGAGCUCCUGCUGCAUGGUGGGGGUUGGAAGGUUUCGGCGGUUGGGGAUGGACUCGCGGCUUAUCAGCUUGUUGGUGGGGUAGUGGCUUACCAAGGCUUUGACGGGUAGCCGGCCUGAGAGGGUGACCGGCCACAUUGGGACUGAGAUACGGCCCAGACUCCUACGGGAGGCAGCAGUGGGGAAUAUUGCACAAUGGGCGGAAGCCUGAUGCAGCAACGCCGCGUGCGGGAUGACGGCCUUCGGGCUGUAAACCGCUUUCGCCUGUGACGAAGCGUGAGUGACGGUAAUGGGUAAAGAAGCACCGGCUAACUACGUG